Molecule: ribosomal RNA, 643 nt
Filed under: Streptomyces sp. 5111_3
Lineage: Bacteria; Bacillati; Actinomycetota; Actinomycetes; Kitasatosporales; Streptomycetaceae
Description: bacterial SSU rRNA
Rfam family: Bacterial small subunit ribosomal RNA
Source: RNAcentral
GAACGGGUGAGUAACACGUGGGCAAUCUGCCCUUCACUCUGGGACAAGCCCUGGAAACGGGGUCUAAUACCGGAUAACACUUCCACUCGCAUGGGUGGAGGUUAAAAGCUCCGGCGGUGAAGGAUGAGCCCGCGGCCUAUCAGCUUGUUGGUGAGGUAAUGGCUCACCAAGGCGACGACGGGUAGCCGGCCUGAGAGGGCGACCGGCCACACUGGGACUGAGACACGGCCCAGACUCCUACGGGAGGCAGCAGUGGGGAAUAUUGCACAAUGGGCGAAAGCCUGAUGCAGCGACGCCGCGUGAGGGAUGACGGCCUUCGGGUUGUAAACCUCUUUCAGCAGGGAAGAAGCGAAAGUGACGGUACCUGCAGAAGAAGCGCCGGCUAACUACGUGCCAGCAGCCGCGGUAAUACGUAGGGCGCAAGCGUUGUCCGGAAUUAUUGGGCGUAAAGAGCUCGUAGGCGGUCUGUCGCGUCGGAUGUGAAAGCCCGGGGCUUAACCCCGGGUCUGCAUUCGAUACGGGCAGACUAGAGUGUGGUAGGGGAGAUCGGAAUUCCUGGUGUAGCGGUGAAAUGCNCAGAUAUCAGGAGGAACACCGGUGGCGAAGGCGGAUCUCUGGGCCAUUACUGACGCUGAGGAGCGAA